GACGAACGCUGGCGGCGUGCUUAACACAUGCAAGUCGAGCGGUAAGGCCCUUUCGGGGGUACACGAGCGGCGAACGGGUGAGUAACACGUGGGUGACCUGCCCUCAGCUCUGGGAUAAGCCUGGGAAACCGGGUCUAAUACUGGAUAUGACUCCAUGGCGCAUGUUGUGGGGUGGAAAGCCUUGUGCGGCUGAGGAUGGGCCCGCGGCCUAUCAGCUUGUUGGUGGGUGANGGCCUACCAAGGCGACGACGGGUAGCCGGCCUGAGAGGGCGACCGGCCACACUGGGACUGAGACACGGCCCAGACUCCUACGGGAGGCAGCAGUGGGGAAUCUUGCGCAAUGGGCGAAAGCCUGACGCAGCGACGCCGCGUGAGGGAUGACGGCCUCGG
This 390-nucleotide ribosomal RNA is filed under the name uncultured bacterium. RNAcentral's name for it is "bacterial SSU rRNA". It matches the Rfam family "Bacterial small subunit ribosomal RNA", at positions 28 to 420 of the family's 1533-position model. The record is from RNAcentral.